UACGUAGAGUGCAAGCGUUUAAUCGGAAUUACUGGGCGUAAAGCGUGCGCAGGCGGCUUUGCAAGACAGAUGUGAAAUCCCCGGGCUUAACCUGGGAACUGCAUUUGUGACUGCAUGGCUGGAGUGCGGCAGAGGGGGAUGGAAUUCCGCGUGUAGCAGUGAAAUGCGUAGAUAUGCGGAGGAACACCGAUGGCGAAGGCAAUCCCCUGGGCCUGCACUGACGCUCAUGCACGAAAGCGUGGGAGCAAACAGG
RNAcentral lists this ribosomal RNA (253 nucleotides) under uncultured bacterium. Its description in RNAcentral is "partial 16S ribosomal RNA". It matches the Rfam family "Bacterial small subunit ribosomal RNA", at positions 524 to 776 of the family's 1533-position model. The record is from RNAcentral.